GAUGAACGCUAGCGGCGUGCCUAAUACAUGCAAGUCGAGCGAACAGAUAAGGAGCUUGCGCCUUUGACGUUAGCGGCGGACGGGUGAGUAACACGUGGGUAACGUACCUAUAAGUCGGGGAUAACUUCGGGAAACCGGAGCUAAUAGCGGAUAACAUUUGGAACCGUAUGGUUCUAAGGAGAAAGAUGGCUGUGCUAUCACUUAUAGCUGGACACGGGCCGUAUUAGCUGGUUGGGAAGGUAACGGCUUACCAAGGGAACGAUUCGUAGCCGACCUGAGAGGGUGAUCGGCGACACUGGAACGUAGACAGGGACCAGACUACUACGGGAGGCCGCAGAAGGGUACCUGCGGCAGUGGGCGAAAGCCUGACGGAGCGAGGCCGAGUGUGUGAUGAAGGGGUCCGGUGCGUAAAACCGUCUUAUGAGGUAAGAACCGCCGUCUAAUGAACUGAGGCGGUCGUGACGGUACCUAAUAAGAAAGCCACGGCUAACUACGUG
Molecule: ribosomal RNA, 497 nt
Filed under: uncultured bacterium
Lineage: Bacteria
Description: partial 16S ribosomal RNA
Rfam family: Bacterial small subunit ribosomal RNA
Source: RNAcentral